GACGAACGCUGGCGGCGUGCCUAAUACAUGCAAGUCGAACGAAGCUGUUUUAACUGGUGCUUGCACCGACUUAAACAACUGAGUGGCGAACGGGUGAGUAACACGUGGGUAACCUGCCCCAAAGCGGGGGAUAACAUUUGGAAACAGAUGCUAAUACCGCAUAACCACAGAAACCACAUGGUUUCUGUGUCAAAGAUGGUUUCGGCUAUCACUUUUGGAUGGGUCCGCGGCGUAUUAGCUAGUUGGUAAGGUAAUGGCUUACCAAGGCAAUGAUACGUAGCCGAACUGAGAGGUUGAUCGGCCACAUUGGGACUGAGACACGGCCCAAACUCCUACGGGAGGCAGCAGUAGGGAAUCUUCCACAAUGGACGAAAGUCUGAUGGAGCAACGCCGCGUGAGUGAAGAAGGUUUUCGGAUCGUAAAACUCUGUUGUCAGAGAAGAACGUGUGCGAGAGUAACUGCUCGUGCAGUGACGGUAUCUGGCCAGAAAGCCACGGCUAACUACGUGCCAGCAGCCGCGGUAA
RNAcentral lists this ribosomal RNA (524 nucleotides) under uncultured bacterium. RNAcentral describes it as "partial 16S ribosomal RNA". It matches the Rfam family "Bacterial small subunit ribosomal RNA", at positions 28 to 523 of the family's 1533-position model. The record is from RNAcentral.